Molecule: long non-coding RNA, 192 nt
Organism: Brassica napus (rape)
Lineage: Eukaryota; Viridiplantae; Streptophyta; Magnoliopsida; Brassicales; Brassicaceae
Exons: 3
Source: RefSeq, a predicted model, not a curated record
GCUAGAUGAUCAAUGAAAUUCUCCGAGUUUACCCGUUUUUACAAUUUUGUUUUCGUUAUGUGCGGUGAGAAUGGACAUAAGAGUAUCACUGUAGGUAAAGCAACAAGUUUUGGCUUUUAUACGUUGUCUGCAUGGGAAUCUAGAAGGAUAUGACUCUAAAGAUGAACAGCACAAAGAUUAUCGUCGCUGCCA